GGAGGGUGCAAACGUUGUUCGGAAUUAUUGGGCGUAAAGAGCAUGUAGGCGGUUUGUCAAGUCUGAUGUGAAAGCCCGGGGCUCAACCCCGGAAGUGCAUUGGAAACUGGCAAACUUGAGUACGGGAGAGGAAAGUGGAAUUUCGAGUGUAGGGGUGAAAUCCGUAGAUAUUCGAAGGAACACCAGUGGCGAAGGCGGCUUUCUGGACCGAUACUGACGCUGAGAUGCGAAAGCGUGGGGAGCAAACAGGAUUAGAUACCCUGGUAGUCCACGCCGUAAACGAUGGGUACUAGGUGUUGCGGGUAUUGACCCCCCUGCAGUGCCAAAGCUAACGCAUUAAGUACCCCGCCUGGGGAGUACGGCCGCAAGGCUA
RNAcentral lists this ribosomal RNA (373 nucleotides) under uncultured organism. Its description in RNAcentral is "partial 16S ribosomal RNA". It matches the Rfam family "Bacterial small subunit ribosomal RNA", at positions 527 to 896 of the family's 1533-position model. The record is from RNAcentral.